UGGGGAAUAUUGCACAAUGGGCGAAAGCCUGAUGCAGCAACGCCGCGUGAGUGAUGAAGGUCUUCGGAUUGUAAAGCUCUGUCUUUUGGGACGAUAAUGACGGUACCAAAGGAGGAAGCCACGGCUAACUACGUGCCAGCAGCCGCGGUAAUACGUAGGUGGCGAGCGUUGUCCGGAUUUACUGGGCGUAAAGGGUGCGUAGGCGGAUGUUUAAGUGAGAUGUGAAAUACCCGGGCUUAACUUGGGUGCUGCAUUUCAAACUGGAUAUCUAGAGUGCAGGAGAGGAGAAUGGAAUUCCUAGUGUAGCGGUGAAAUGCGUAGAGAUUAGGAAGAACACCAGUGGCGAAGGCGAUUCUCUGGACUGUAACUGACGCUGAGGCACGAAAGCGUGGGUAGCAAACAGGAUUAGAUACCCUGGUAGUCCACGCCGUAAACGAUGAAGUACUAGGUGUAGGAGGUAUCGACCCCUUCUGUGCCGCAGUAAACACAUUAAGUACUCCGCCUGGGAAGUACGAUCGCAAGAUUAAAACUCUAAAGUGAA
RNAcentral lists this ribosomal RNA (541 nucleotides) under uncultured bacterium. RNAcentral's name for it is "partial 16S ribosomal RNA". It matches the Rfam family "Bacterial small subunit ribosomal RNA", at positions 355 to 911 of the family's 1533-position model. The record is from RNAcentral.